Molecule: ribosomal RNA, 474 nt
Filed under: uncultured bacterium
Lineage: Bacteria
Description: bacterial SSU rRNA
Rfam family: Bacterial small subunit ribosomal RNA
Source: RNAcentral
AACGAACGCUGGCGGCGCGCCUAAUACAUGCAAGUCGAGCGAGAAGACGUAGCAAUACGUUUGUAAAGCGGCGAACGGGUGAGGAAUACAUGGGUAACCUACCCUCGAGUGGGGAAUAACUAGCCGAAAGGUUAGCUAAUACCGCGUACGCUCCUUGGACUUCGGUUCAGGGAGGAAAGCGAUACCGUGGGUAUCGCGCUCUUGGAUAGGCUCAUGUCCUAUCAGCUUGUUGGUGAGGUAACGGCUCACCAAGGCUUCGACGGGUAGCUGGUCUGAGAGGACGAUCAGCCACACUGGCACUGCGACACGGGCCAGACUCCUACGGGAGGCAGCAGUAAGGAAUAUUGCGCAAUGGGCGAAAGCCUGACGCAGCGACGCCGCGUGGGGGAUGAAGGUCUUCGGAUUGUAAACCCCUUUCGGGAGGGAAGAUGGAACGAGCAAUCGUUCGGACGGUACCUCCAGAAGCAGCCACGG